CCUACAAGGCUAAAUACUCCUGACUGACCGAUAGUGAACCAGUACCGUGAGGGAAAGGCGAAAAGAACCCCGGCGAGGGGAGUGAAAAAGAACCUGAAACCGUGUACGUACAAGCAGUGGGAGCACCUUCGGGUGUGACUGCGUACCUUUUGUAUAAUGGGUCAGCGACUUAUAUUCUGUAGCAAGGUUAACCGUAUAGGGGAGCCGGAGGGAAACCGAGUCUUAAUUGGGCGUUAAGUUGCAGGGUAUAGACCCGAAACC
RNAcentral lists this ribosomal RNA (261 nucleotides) under Salmonella enterica subsp. enterica serovar Braenderup. RNAcentral describes it as "partial 23S ribosomal RNA". It matches the Rfam family "Bacterial large subunit ribosomal RNA", at positions 457 to 722 of the family's 2925-position model. The record is from RNAcentral. Lineage: Bacteria; Pseudomonadati; Pseudomonadota; Gammaproteobacteria; Enterobacterales; Enterobacteriaceae.